UACGUAGGGGGCAAGCGUUGUCCGGAUUUAUUGGGCGUAAAGAGCGUGUAGGCGGUUUGGUAGGUCCGUUGUGAAAACUCGAGGCUCAACCUCGAGACGCCGAUGGAAACCAUCAGACUAGAGUCCGGAAGAGGAGAGUGGAAUUCCUGGUGUAGCGGUGAAAUGCGCAGAUAUCAGGAGGAACACCAAUGGCGAAGGCAGAUCUCUGGGCCGUAACUGACGCUGAGGAGCGAAAGCAUGGGGAGCGAACAGG
Molecule: ribosomal RNA, 253 nt
Filed under: uncultured bacterium
Lineage: Bacteria
Description: partial 16S ribosomal RNA
Rfam family: Bacterial small subunit ribosomal RNA
Source: RNAcentral